UUUCUACUGCAUGUCUGACGC
Molecule: unclassified non-coding RNA, 21 nt
Filed under: Mus musculus (house mouse)
Lineage: Eukaryota; Metazoa; Chordata; Mammalia; Rodentia; Muridae
Description: oocyte_clustered_small_RNA13215
Source: RNAcentral